This 244-nucleotide unclassified non-coding RNA is filed under the name uncultured Pleosporales. RNAcentral's name for it is "sequence contains ITS2". The record is from RNAcentral. Lineage: Eukaryota; Fungi; Ascomycota; Dothideomycetes; Pleosporales.
AACGCACAUUGCGCCCCUCGGUAUUCCGUGGGGCAUGCCUGUUCGAGCGUCAUUUACACCCUCAAGCUCUGCUUGGUGUUGGGCGUCUGUCCCGCUUCGUGCGUGGACUCGCCCCAAAGUCAUUGGCGGCGAUCGUGCCAGCUUCUCGCGCAGCAUACGCGCUCCGGAGGCAAGUCGAUCAGCAUCCACAAAGUACUUUCCACAGUUUGACCUCGGAUCAGGUAGGGAUACCCGCUGAACUUAA